UGCCUAGCUACAAACUGAAGACCUUACAACCCACUCUCCGCCAGAACACUACGAGUAAACACUUAAAAAUCAAAGGACUUGGCGGUGCCCAAAAUCUACCCAGAGGAGCCUGUUCUAUAAUCGAUAACCCACGCUAAACCUCACCCCUCUUUGCCAAAACAGCCUAUAUACCACCGUCUGCAGCUCACCCCAUUGAAGGAAAACAAGUGAGCAGAAUGAACUUAUUAAAAACGUCAGGUCAAGGUGUAGCACAUAGAGCGGAAAGAAAUGGGCUACAUUUUCUUACUAAGAACAAACGAAAAAGCAAAUGAAAAAUUCUUGGAAGGCGGAUUUGGCAGUAAAAAAAAAUAAUUAAAUUCUUUUUAACACAGCCCUUGGGCGCGC
This 384-nucleotide ribosomal RNA is filed under the name Ichthyophis sp. DJG-2031. Its description in RNAcentral is "partial 12S ribosomal RNA". The stretch from base 44 to 384 matches the Rfam family "Bacterial small subunit ribosomal RNA", at positions 875 to 1384 of the family's 1533-position model. The record is from RNAcentral. Lineage: Eukaryota; Metazoa; Chordata; Amphibia; Gymnophiona; Ichthyophiidae.